UACAGAGGUCUCAAGCGUUGUUCGGAUUCAUUGGGCGUAAAGGGUGCGUAGGCGGCGCGGUAAGUCGGGUGUGAAAGUCAAGGGCUCAACCCUUGAAUGCCGGCCGAUACUGCCGGGCUAGAGUCCGGAAGAGGUGAGUGGAACUCCUGGUGUAGCGGUGAAAUGCGCAGAUAUCAGGAGGAACACCGGUGGCGAAGGCGGGUCUCUGGGCCGAUACUGACGCUGAGGAGCGAAAGCGUGGGGAGCGAACAGG
This 253-nucleotide ribosomal RNA is filed under the name uncultured bacterium. RNAcentral's name for it is "partial 16S ribosomal RNA". It matches the Rfam family "Bacterial small subunit ribosomal RNA", at positions 524 to 776 of the family's 1533-position model. The record is from RNAcentral.